RNAcentral lists this ribosomal RNA (653 nucleotides) under uncultured bacterium. RNAcentral's name for it is "bacterial SSU rRNA". It matches the Rfam family "Bacterial small subunit ribosomal RNA", at positions 28 to 669 of the family's 1533-position model. The record is from RNAcentral.
GAUGAACGCUAGCGGCAGGCUUAACACAUGCAAGUCGAGGGGCAGCAUAUUGAAGUUUUCGGGCGGAGAUGAUGGCGACCGGCGGACGGGUGCGUAACGCGUAUACAACCUACCCUAUAUUGGUGAAUAACCCGGAGAAAUUCGGACUAAUGCGCCGUAUGCUUUCGGAGGGCAUCCUCUGUUAGUGAUAGAUUUAUUGUUAUAGGAUGGGUAUGCGUGACAUUAGCUAGUAGGUGAGGUAACGGCUCACCUAGGCGACGAUGUCUAGGGGUUCUGAGAGGAAGGUCCCCCACACUGGUACUGAGACACGGACCAGACUCCUACGGGAGGCAGCAGUGAGGAAUAUUGGUCAAUGGACGGAAGUCUGAACCAGCCAUGCCGCGUGCAGGAUGACGGCUCUAUGAGUUGUAAACUGCUUUUGUAUAGGGGUAAAAUAUAGUAUGUAUACUAUACUGCAAGUACUAUACGAAUAAGGAUCGGCUAACUCCGUGCCAGCAGCCGCGGUAAUACGGAGGAUCCGAGCGUUAUCCGGAUUCAUUGGGUUUAAAGGGUGCGUAGGCGGAUUGGUAAGUUAGUCGUUAAAUCGUGAUGCUUAACAUCACAGUGGCGAUUGAUACUGUCAGUCUGGAGAUUAUGUGCAGUGGGCGGAAUGA